CGCUGCUUCACCUGGCCCCCAAAGACACACGUGACUCACCACCCCAUCUCUGACCAUGAGGCCACCCUGAGGUGCUGGGCCCUGGGCUUCUACCCUGCGGAGAUCACACUGACCUGGCAGCAGGAUGGGGAGGGCCAUACCCAGGACACGGAGCUCGUGGAGACCAGGCCUGCAGGGGAUGGAACCUUCCAGAAGUGGGCAGCUGUGGUGGUGCCUUCUGGAGAGGAGCAGAGAUACACGUGCCAUGUGCAGCAUGAGGGGCUACCCGAGCCCGUCACCCUGAGAUGGACCGGCUUCCCAGCCCACCAUCCCCAUCGUGGGCAUCAUUGCUGGCCUGGUUCUCCUUGGAUCUGUGGUCUCUGGAGCUGUGGUUGCUGCUGUGAUAUGGAGGAAGAAGAGCUCAGGUGGAAAAGGAGGGAGCUACUCUAAGGCUGAGUGGAGCGACAGUGCCCAGGGGUCUGAGUCUCACAGCUUGUAAAGCCUGAGACAGCUGCCUUGUGUGCGACUGAGAUGCACAGCUGCCUUGUGUGCGACUGAGAUGCAGGAUUUCCUCACGCCUCCCCUAUGUGUCUUAGGGGACUCUGGCUUCUCUUUUUGCAAGGGCCUCUGAAUCUGUCUGUGUCCCUGUUAGCACAAUGUGAGGAGGUAGAGAAAC
Molecule: long non-coding RNA, 655 nt
Filed under: Homo sapiens (human)
Lineage: Eukaryota; Metazoa; Chordata; Mammalia; Primates; Hominidae
Description: HSALNT0103930
Source: RNAcentral